AGCCACUAGGGGUGCGAAAGCUGAGAUGACGAAAGUCGACCCUUUGAACCUGAACAAGGUAAUUCUUGCGUAAGGGAAGUGCAAUUAC
RNAcentral lists this non-coding RNA (88 nucleotides) under Lactobacillus equicursoris. Lineage: Bacteria; Bacillati; Bacillota; Bacilli; Lactobacillales; Lactobacillaceae. The record is from RNAcentral.